UAAUAGGUGUUUUUUAAUACCACUUUAAAUUCAAUUUACAAUAGUAU
Erinaceus europaeus (western European hedgehog) is the source of this 47-nucleotide non-coding RNA. NCBI's taxonomy places the organism in Eukaryota, Metazoa, Chordata, Mammalia, Eulipotyphla, Erinaceidae. The record is from Rfam.